This 876-nucleotide ribosomal RNA is filed under the name Salmonella enterica subsp. enterica serovar Muenchen. Its description in RNAcentral is "partial 23S ribosomal RNA". It matches the Rfam family "Bacterial large subunit ribosomal RNA", at positions 762 to 1636 of the family's 2925-position model. The record is from RNAcentral. Lineage: Bacteria; Pseudomonadati; Pseudomonadota; Gammaproteobacteria; Enterobacterales; Enterobacteriaceae.
CUAACUGGAGGACCGAACCGACUAAUGUUGAAAAAUUAGCGGAUGACCUGUGGCUGGGGGUGAAAGGCCAAUCAAACCGGGAGAUAGCUGGUUCUCCCCGAAAGCUAUUUAGGUAGCGCCUCGUGAACUCAUCUCCGGGGGUAGAGCACUGUUUCGGCUAGGGGGCCAUCCCGGCUUACCAACCCGAUGCAAACUGCGAAUACCGGAGAAUGUUAUCACGGGAGACACACGGCGGGUGCUAACGUCCGUCGUGAAGAGGGAAACAACCCAGACCGCCAGCUAAGGUCCCAAAGUCAUGGUUAAGUGGGAAACGAUGUGGGAAGGCCCAGACAGCCAGGAUGUUGGCUUAGAAGCAGCCAUCAUUUAAAGAAAGCGUAAUAGCUCACUGGUCGAGUCGGCCUGCGCGGAAGAUGUAACGGGGCUAAACCAUGCACCGAAGCUGCGGCAGCGACACUGUGUGUUGUUGGGUAGGGGAGCGUUCUGUAAGCCUGUGAAGGUGGCCUGUGAGGGUUGCUGGAGGUAUCAGAAGUGCGAAUGCUGACAUAAGUAACGAUAAAGCGGGUGAAAAGCCCGCUCGCCGGAAGACCAAGGGUUCCUGUCCAACGUUAAUCGGGGCAGGGUGAGUCGACCCCUAAGGCGAGGCCGAAAGGCGUAGUCGAUGGGAAACGGGUUAAUAUUCCCGUACUUGGUGUUACUGCGAAGGGGGGACGGAGAAGGCUAUGUUGGCCGGGCGACGGUUGUCCCGGUUUAAGCGUGUAGGUGUGUGUUCCAGGUAAAUCCGGUUCACUUUAACACUGAGGCGUGAUGACGAGGCACUACGGUGCUGAAGCAACAAAUGCCCUGCUUCCAGGAAAAGCCUCUAAGCAUCAGGUAACA